Molecule: long non-coding RNA, 586 nt
Filed under: Setaria viridis
Lineage: Eukaryota; Viridiplantae; Streptophyta; Magnoliopsida; Poales; Poaceae
Description: long non-coding RNA (SVIR_LNC004764)
Source: RNAcentral
GUGAAGUAAAGUCGUGAAGGUGGCGUGUCCGUCCGAUGAGCGCAGAAAAAACUUGGACCAAAAUGCCCCUACAUGGGUAAUUGUCCUAGUUGUAGUUGUAGGCGUAGUUUGGUCAUCUGUCCCGAACUAUUAAUAUGGGUGGAUGGCUGUUCAUUUCAACACCUCUUGAGAAAACCCUAAUUCAUUUGCGUAGAGGCUAGCCAAGUGCUUACAGAGAGAGAGAGAGGAGAGAGGGAGAUGAGAAGGUGAUUGCUCUUUUCUCUUGAUUUCUUCAUUUUAGUGGGUGGAUGAAGGGAGGAGGCUAGUCCUCAUCUUGUAAAGAUGUUGACCUCAUGAUUUAGUUGAAUUUGUAUGUCAAAUCCAUGGCUAAAUCUAGUGUCUCUCCCAUUUUUCUUUUACCCUAUUUUCGGAGGAUUUUUGGGUGAAUUUUUGGAUCUCACGAUUGGCAGCGCUUUGGUGUGUUUUUCUUGGGGCAAAUCGAUGCUAGGACAUGUGCACGAACAUCUAGGAUGAUCCCUUAGCAAAUCUAUGCACGAGCACCUUGGAUUUUGAGAUUUCCCGAAAAUACCCUUCUUGUGCCCGUCUC